UUUACUAUUUUUUUACCUAUCCUCUCUUUUUCAAAAUUGCUUAAGGCCUUCCUAUUAUUUUAAAGUUGACAAGUGUAUAGGAAGGUACCUUCUUUUAUUCUCCCAUGACAGACACAAGUCUUGUCAUAGAUAUGAUCUACGGACAAAUCAGCAUCCGAAUACUCAGUUGAAUUAUUUACAAUCCAUAUCAUUACUCAUACUCAAGAAUGCUUAAGACUUUGCCCCUUUCUUUUUUGAAUUGACAUAGAUCCAAGCCCUCGCGUAAAAUGAGUAUGGCGCAUCAGAUCAGGA
This 291-nucleotide unclassified non-coding RNA is filed under the name Tuberaria globulariifolia. RNAcentral describes it as "trnL-trnF intergenic spacer". The record is from RNAcentral. Lineage: Eukaryota; Viridiplantae; Streptophyta; Magnoliopsida; Malvales; Cistaceae.